GAGUAAAGCAUAUCACCCUCAGA
This 23-nucleotide small nuclear RNA is filed under the name Arabidopsis thaliana (thale cress). RNAcentral describes it as "snRNA_05624". Lineage: Eukaryota; Viridiplantae; Streptophyta; Magnoliopsida; Brassicales; Brassicaceae. The record is from RNAcentral.